GCCGCUCUCCCCGCUCGGCCCCAGCGCGGGCGGGCCCGGCCGCAGGGCGCAGGCGCAGCGCUCCGGCCGCGCUCGGAGUCACAGCUAUGAGGGGUUUUUAAGGGUAUAAAAUGUGUCUCCCAGCGCUCUCUCGUAAGGGCUGCAGCGCUGACCUUUAAAUGCAUCAAAUAUCGUCUUUGAGUUCACACCGAGCCUUUGCCGCUCUCGGAAAUAACAGAGCGGGUGGCUCUGUGCAGGCCCAGACAACUCUAGGAAUGGAGAAGAAAAAAACCCAAACAAUUUUCAAAAUACUUUUGAUAGCUGAUGUGUCCCUAGUUUGUACCUAGAGGAGGUUGUGGUGAUACAGUUCGGGAGAUCAAUGGUGCUCGUUGGUGCUGAGGAUCUUAACGCUUGGAAAGAAGUUCCCUGCAGGUACUGGAAGACUGCAAUUAUGACACCCCAAAGCCUUCUCUUCUCCGGGCUGAACAAUCCCAAUCAUCUCAGCCUUUCCUUGUAGGGAGGGCACUCCAUCUCUUCAUCUAUUAUAUUCCAGCACUCUGGAAAAAGAAUGAUUUCCCAGGAGAAAAUGAAGAGACAUGUAGGAGACAAAUGUGUACGUUGCAAUUGUUAUUGUAGAAAAAUAUUAUAAAAUAAAAAUCAGU
This is a long non-coding RNA of Pipra filicauda (Wire-tailed manakin), 641 nucleotides long. RefSeq lists it as uncharacterized. NCBI's taxonomy places the organism in Eukaryota, Metazoa, Chordata, Aves, Passeriformes, Pipridae. The record is from RefSeq and is a predicted model, not a curated record. The transcript is spliced from 3 exons.